Molecule: transfer RNA, 68 nt
Filed under: Marmota monax (woodchuck)
Lineage: Eukaryota; Metazoa; Chordata; Mammalia; Rodentia; Sciuridae
Description: tRNA.Ala
Rfam family: tRNA
About the family: Transfer RNA (tRNA) molecules are approximately 80 nucleotides in length. Their secondary structure includes four short double-helical elements and three loops (D, anti-codon, and T loops).
Source: RNAcentral
GGUUGUGGCUCAGUGGUAGAGCACUUGCUUCGCAUGCAUGAGGUACUUGAGUUUGAUCCUCAGCACCA